Molecule: ribosomal RNA, 301 nt
Filed under: uncultured bacterium
Lineage: Bacteria
Description: partial 16S ribosomal RNA
Rfam family: Bacterial small subunit ribosomal RNA
Source: RNAcentral
CAGCAGCCACGGGAAUACGAAGGGUGCAAGCGUUACUCGGAAUUACUGGGCGUAAAGCGUGCGUAGGUGGUGGUUUAAGUCCGUUGUGAAAGCCCUGGGCUCAACCUGGGAAUUGCAGUGGAUACUGGGUCACUAGAGUGUGGUAGAGGAUAGUGGAAUUUCCGGUGUAGCAGUGAAAUGCGUAGAGAUCGGAAGGAACAUCAGUGGCGAAGGCGGCCAUCUGGGACAACACUGACGCUGAGGCACGAAAGCGUGGGGAGCAAACAGGAUUAGAUACCCCUGUAGUCCCUGUCUCUUAUAC